This 761-nucleotide ribosomal RNA is filed under the name Nocardioides alkalitolerans. RNAcentral's name for it is "bacterial SSU rRNA". It matches the Rfam family "Bacterial small subunit ribosomal RNA", at positions 83 to 855 of the family's 1533-position model. The record is from RNAcentral. Lineage: Bacteria; Bacillati; Actinomycetota; Actinomycetes; Propionibacteriales; Nocardioidaceae.
CGGGGUACACGAGCGGCGAACGGGUGAGUAACACGUGAGUAAUCUGCCCUUCACUCAGGGAUAACCACGGGAAACUGUGGCUAAUACCUGAUAUGACCCUUCCACGCAUGUGGUGGGGUGGAAAGUGUUUAGCGGUGAGGGAUGUGCUCGCGGCCUAUCAGCUUGUUGGUGAGGUAGUGGCUCACCAAGGCUUCGACGGGUAGCCGGCCUGAGAGGGUGACCGGCCACACUGGGACUGAGACACGGCCCAGACUCCUACGGGAGGCAGCAGUGGGGAAUAUUGGACAAUGGGCGAAAGCCUGAUCCAGCAACGCCGCGUGAGGGAUGACGGCCUUCGGGUUGUAAACCUCUUUCGCUCAUGACGAAGCGCAAGUGACGGUAGUGAGAGAAGAAGGACCGGCCAACUACGUGCCAGCAGCCGCGGUAAUACGUAGGGUCCGAGCGUUGUCCGGAAUUAUUGGGCGUAAAGGGCUCGUAGGCGGUUUGUCGCGUCGGGAGUGAAAACCAUGAGCUUAACUCAUGGCUUGCUUCCGAUACGGGCAGACUAGAGGUAUGCAGGGGAGAAUGGAAUUCCUGGUGUAGCGGUGAAAUGCGCAGAUAUCAGGAGGAACACCGGUGGCGAAGGCGGUUCUCUGGGCAUUACCUGACGCUGAGGAGCGAAAGUGUGGGGAGCGAACAGGAUUAGAUACCCUGGUAGUCCACACCGUAAACGUUGGGCGCUAGGUGUGGGAUCCAUUCCACGGGUUCCGUGCCGCAGCUAA